RNAcentral lists this ribosomal RNA (497 nucleotides) under uncultured bacterium. Its description in RNAcentral is "partial 16S ribosomal RNA". It matches the Rfam family "Bacterial small subunit ribosomal RNA", at positions 28 to 507 of the family's 1533-position model. The record is from RNAcentral.
GACGAACGCUGGCGGCGUGCCUAAUACAUGCAAGUUGAGCGCUGAAGGUUGGUACUUGUACCAACUGGAUGAGCAGCGAACGGGUGAGUAACGCGUGGGGAAUCUGCCUUUGAGCGGGGGACAACAUUUGGAAACGAAUGCUAAUACCGCAUAAAAACUUUAAACACAAGUUUUAAGUUUGAAAGAUGCAAUUGCAUCACUCAAAGAUGAUCCCGCGUUGUAUUAGCUAGUUGGUGAGGUAAAGGCUCACCAAGGCGAUGAUACAUAGCCGACCUGAGAGGGUGAUCGGCCACCUUGGGACUGAGACACGGCCCAAACUCCUACGGGAGGCAGCAGUAGGGAAUCUUCGGCAAUGGACGAAAGUCUGACCGAGCAACGCCGCGGGAGUGAAGAAGGUUUUCGGAUCGUAAAACUCUGUUGGUAGAGAAGAACGUUGGUGAGAGUGGAAAGCUCAUCAAGUGACGGUAACUACUCAGAAAGGGACGGCUAACUACGUG